CUGUUGACCUCGGAUCAGGUAGGAAUACCCGCUGAACUUAAGCAUAUCAAUA
This 52-nucleotide ribosomal RNA is filed under the name Colletotrichum falcatum. Its description in RNAcentral is "partial 28S ribosomal RNA". The record is from RNAcentral. Lineage: Eukaryota; Fungi; Ascomycota; Sordariomycetes; Glomerellales; Glomerellaceae.